Molecule: ribosomal RNA, 600 nt
Filed under: Wolbachia endosymbiont of Bemisia tabaci
Lineage: Bacteria; Pseudomonadati; Pseudomonadota; Alphaproteobacteria; Rickettsiales; Anaplasmataceae
Description: bacterial SSU rRNA
Rfam family: Bacterial small subunit ribosomal RNA
Source: RNAcentral
UGCUAUUAGAUGAGCCUAUAUUAGAUUAGCUAGUUGGUGGAGUAAUAGCCUACCAAGGCAAUGAUCUAUAGCUGAUCUGAGAGGAUGAUCAGCCACACUGGAACUGAGAUACGGUCCAGACUCCUACGGGAGGCAGCAGUGGGGAAUAUUGGACAAUGGGCGAAAGCCUGAUCCAGCCAUGCCGCAUGAGUGAAGAAGGCCUUUGGGUUGUAAAGCUCUUUUAGUGAGGAAGAUAAUGACGGUACUCACAGAAGAAGUCCUGGCUAACUCCGUGCCAGCAGCCGCGGUAAUACGGAGAGGGCUAGCGUUAUUCGGAAUUAUUGGGCGUAAAGGGCGCGUAGGCUGAUUAAUAAGUUAAAAGUGAAAUCCCGAGGCUUAACCUUGGAAUUGCUUUUAAAACUAUUAAUCUAGAGAUUGAAAGAGGAUAGAGGAAUUCCUGAUGUAGAGGUAAAAUUCGUAAAUAUUAGGAGGAACACCAGUGGCGAAGGCGUCUAUCUGGUUCAAAUCUGACGCUGAAGCGCGAAGGCGUGGGGAGCAAACAGGAUUAGAUACCCUGGUAGUCCACGCUGUAAACGAUGAAUGUUAAAUAUGGGAAGUUUA